GACACUCGACGAGCAUGUGGAGCCCCACCAAGCUUUUAUUUACAUGUGCACCAUUUCUCAUACAAACUAGAUUACGGUUCCAGAAAAAAACCCAAUGAGAACACAGGAAGAAUACCAACUAACAACAUUGAGAAGAUUAAUAAUACGGGACCAAGUUGAAAGGAUAGGGGGGCAGAGGGGAGCCUUUUUACAAAAAAUACAAAUGAGGUGAUUAUGCUUUUUUUUUAGUGGUUUUUGUCUCAUUUUUAUUUUUGAUGCUCUAAAUGCGCACUGCAGUUUUUGCGCGGAAGGCGAACGAACGGAGCCAAGGCCGAGACCUCAAACAAGUGAUUCUUACACUUUGUAAAGUCCAUCCAUCCAUUGCUUUUGCCGCUUAUCCUCACAAGGUUUCGCGGGGAGCGCCGGAGCCUAUCCCAGCUGUCAACGGGCAGGAGGCGGGGUACACCCUGAACUGGUCGCUAGCCAAUCGCAGGGCACAUCCAGACACACAGUCGCACUCACAAUCACACCUUGGGGAAAUUUAGAGUAUCCAAUUAUUGUUGCAUGUUGUUGGGAUGCGGGAGGAAACCGGAGUGCCCGGAGAAAACCCACGCAGGCACCGGAGAGACCAUGCAAACUCCACACGGGCGAGGGGGCGGGUCCUCAGAACCGUGAGGCCAACGCUUUACCAGCUGAUCCACCGUGCAGUCAGUGUAUUCAAAUUCAAACACUUAGUUUAGUUGAACUUGUUUUUUUUCAUUUUUUUUUUUUUUUUUUAAAAAAGGACAACACUGAACACAGCUGGAGUUUUUUUUUGUCUUACAUUACACGAAUAAUCAUGACGAACGCAGUCAAGACAGAGGAUGGUUCAAGUGGAGCUGAUUUAGCAAAUCGAAACACUGGUAGUUGUCCUCUUUGUGUUACAAUUGCUGUCAGGAGACGACGCCGUUGCAAUGCGGUUGCAGCCUGCUCGUGCACUUCAUCCUUAAAAACUGCACACUGACAGUCCUCUGCCUUGGUGAUAUAUAUUUUUAUAUAUAAAUGUAUAUAUACACAUCUGUACACUAUUAUACACAGUGGGGUCAAAGCCUUCAUUUUGCCCCCUCCCCGCCCUCUCCCAAUCCAGGGACUCCAGAUGCUACAACAAUGGUUACACAAUCUGCUUCAAGGAUACGUUUGAUGGCAACAGCGUUCCCUCCCGCCUGGCGCGUCAGAAGACUUCUUCAACUCUACCUUGGCGAGGUAACGAGGGGUCAAGUACUGCGAGGGAAUACGCGACGGGGACGUACAGCGGGUAAAUGCGCUUCACACACACACACGCAAAGGACAUAAUGCAUAAAUACAUCAAUUGUGUACAGUGGAAAAGGGGCGGCAGUUGACAAAAAGAAACAUGCGGCGAUGGGGAGUAGCCUACAGGAGCACCGGACGUUUGCAUGUCACCCCCCCCCCAAAAAAAAAAAGGCAAUAAUUAAUUCGGAAAUAAAUGCCCACGCUGAAAAUCUUACAAUCAUAAAGUCAGAUUAAAAAUCUGAUUUAAAAAAAAAAAAAAUCUGAUUUUCGACAAAAGUCGACAUGUCAUCAGAGUAAAAUUCUUGGGGGGGAAUAUAAAAGUUGUAAAUUCAUGAUCGAUCUGAUGAGAACGGAAAUAUCUUCAAGAAAAAUGUGCCAUGUUUGAGAAAGACGGGGUGUUUUGAGAAACUCAAGAAAAAGUCAGUCUUAUUAGAAAAGUCAUCAUAUGCGAAUAAAAGGCCUGAAUUUGCAAGAAAAAAUGAGUUAAAAGACAACUUUAGGAGGAAUAAUAUCAUGAAAACUGCUCUACUUUAAAUACAAGGGAAAAAUUGUAUUUUAUCAACGGGAAUUUUCCUUAGGAAAAACAAAUAAUAGUAUGAGGAAAAUUUUCGAUGAGUGAAUCUUAAAAUUCACACGCAAGCGUUAACACGGUUCUCAGGAACAACACGAAGCUUUGUGCUAUUACAAUAAACCCAUCUUGACACAAUAUCGUCAGCUCUUAUUGUUACUAUUCCCGAAAAUGAACACUUUUUCCGAUUAUGACUUUGUCAGACGUCAUUAUUCCUUCUCCAUUUCAGUGAGGCCAACAUCCAAAACGAAAAGUCAAAUCCAAACGGCGGACUUCCGCUCGUAGUCAUAUCCCGACCUUCCUCUUCAAUGUCGACGGGUCGAAAAGUUCACAGGUCACGAGUUCACAAAGCGUCUCUGUAACAUUUACCAAAUUAUGGAAAUCUUCAUUUGAAUGAAAAUAUCUUUAGAAUAGGCCCCGCCCUAACCUUAUCUCCUUCCCUCCCCCUGAGUGUUGCUCUACAUAUUAUGCAUUAAAAACAAAAAUCCCCACCAGUUGAUGACAAGACUGCUGCACACACACUUGUAUUUGUCUUUAAUAUCUGUGUGUGUGUUUUGAAACGUGCAUACGAGUGGCGUGAUUUUGGCUGCCAACAUGAUUCUACUGCUUGAUUCAAGUAAUUUGGCAACAUAUAGACGAGACAGCUUAUUGUUUCCAGAAAAUGGCUGCUGGAGGAAUAACCUCCACCCCCCUCCCAACUCACCUCCCAUCAUGCACCGGGGGGGUCACGCUCCUUUACCCGCCAUGCGCGGCUGCAGCUUUAUAGGCCGUUUUUGCAAGUCGAGGGUCAAAACUGCACCCGAUUCGGAACGGAACUAAAAAAAAAAACAAAAACGCACGAGGUGCUCCGAGGACAAAAUUCAACAGUUUUUUUUUUUUUUUUUUUUACAUAGCACCUGUAAUGCUGUGGAAAUGUUCACAUCACUAGAACACAGGUAUUCACUUAUUUUUUUUUUUUUAGCUACAUUAUUUGCUGUGAUCAAUUUAAAAAGCCUUCUCAAACUGUACAAAUAACCACAAGUGAGAUUUUCUUUCUAUUUGCCUUUUUUUCUCCUUUUUUUUCAUGUCUCUGCAUUAAAACCAAAAAAGUGAAACAAUCCAACGUUGUAGUCGUCGAAACUUUUCCGUUCAAGCCAUACGUAGGAAGUGCGUCGGUGUUCGCCUUAAGGGCGCGCGAGUUUCAACGCUAGUCGACGUAACUGAAAUUCCGAAUAACAAACACUGAACACUUAAAAAAAAAAAAAAAAUCACAGAAGGGGAGUGUAGAAGUAAAUACAACCUCCCCACAAAAAAAAAAAUACACUGGAUCAGAUUUUACACACCUUCUCCACGGCAGUUUCUUUUUGUUUUGAACAUUGAUCAAGAACAUCGUGCACCCAUUUGUUGUUCGUCUUUGUAGUCCCGCCCGAUGACCGGCGUCUCUUUGAGAGUCUUACACGUGAGGAAACUUGCAUAAUUCAAGAGUUUUGUUGUAACUUUUUUUUUCUUCUUCUUGUUAUCGUUUCACAGGAGGCUCCUUCCGAAGCGUUGGAUCGCUUAAAAAGUCCUGCGGCUCGUUUCCCAGAGACGAGUGUUCGUCGUGUAAACACAAGGUUUUAGAAGCCCUGCUCGAUCAGCCCGAACACCUUAUUAUCGUAGAGGUUGUCGACGAGGGUGGUGAAGCGCCUGACUUGGUCCUUCGCACGCAGCGUCAGCAUGGGAACGCGCCGGAUGAACACAACGUCGAAGACCCGCGCCAACGCCAGGCAAAUCGCGUUAAACGACUCACUCUGCCGCGCAGCUCGUGGAAAGUGCAGUCCGCGACGGAGCCGCAGGUCUUCGCCAGCCUCACUUGCCUGCCCAGCACGGUGAGCACCCGAGGACCGGCGGCUGCGGAAACACACCCCCGUCCCGUCAGAUGACCCAUCAUCUCCAACUCUUCCACCUUUUUCCGCUUCAUUGUGCAAAGAGCGGAGGACCCCCGCGGCCCCUCCGAAAAUGCGCGGCGUCUUCCUCGGUCCGACAAAACGGAAAACAAGCAACGGAGGAAUGGAUUGCGCGGCGACAACAACAGAGCGCAACGCGUCGCCUCCAUUCUUCCCGGCCGCCAUUCAAAGCGCCCAACCUGUAAUACGCGGUUCAAACUUUCCCGGCGCGGCGUACAAUGUCAACAGGAUUCACGCCAGGGAGGACGGCGCAAACCGUAAUCAUCAUCCCCGCUAUUCUUCGCCGAGAAAAGACGGGAAUUACUGCGCCUCGGUCUCAUCAAUGCCAUCAGGGCGGACCGGCUGAGCGCUCGACGGCGCGUUCUGAAAUCAGCAAAUUUCUGCCACUGGCCUCCUUCAGCCGCGGGGAUAAUUAGCAAUCAUCAUAAAGCAAGAGGCCGGAAAUACGCCAUUCUUCGCCGCUGUCAACUUUUAUAUCAGCGCGUCCGCUCCGAGCCAAUUGGCGGAAUCGGGCUUAAUAACAACCUGGCGGAGUCGCCCUCCCCCUCGCUCGCACAAAAGGGACUUGUCAUUCCGUCGACCCGCCGCGACCCCGCCGACGCCUGCGAAAUAAGGGGAAGAAGGUAGGGAGACGUCACAAUCAUUAGAACCCGGCGCUAUUGUCUUCGGCCUCCCUUUAUCAACUCGCCGCGGAGGUGCGCAAAUAACAGCGAGGGAAGGACGAGGCACUGGAAAACACAAUCAGCCGUGAUGAUUCGCCGCGUUAUUUAUAAUCAGAUGAGGCCCAGGCCACGCGGGUCAUUACUUGAUUAUCCGUCUCGAGGGCUUUUGUCACAUCCUCCGAGAUUUAAUCCGCCUACGCGUCGCCGGCUCCCCGGCACGCCCGGCCGCCGCCACGCUUCCCCUCGCGGGCUGGCUUUCGUUUUGAAAUGAGCCGUUGAGGGGUGACGAGAAACAAAAGCUCGGUCAAGUUCUUGCGAGAGUUUACGAAGGAAUCCUGCAAAAUCAAAAAAACAAAAAAACCUCAAUUUCAUCCGGAAAUCAAACAGUUUUGGACGAAAUGUGACAAAAAUGUGACAAUAGGCUUCCGUGGUGUACAUUUUUAAAAAAACUAUAUUUCUAAAUUACAAAGCAGCAUUAGUGUUAAAAAAAAAAAAGUUAAAUUACAAGAAAAAAGUUCUGACAUUACAAGUUUUUUUAUGCAUGAAGUCCUACAAAAAUAACGCGUGCAUAAGCAUCGGUGACAUAAAUUUGUUGUCUUUUGAA
Long non-coding RNA from Syngnathoides biaculeatus (alligator pipefish), 5028 nucleotides. RefSeq lists it as uncharacterized. The record is from RefSeq and is a predicted model, not a curated record. NCBI's taxonomy places the organism in Eukaryota, Metazoa, Chordata, Actinopteri, Syngnathiformes, Syngnathidae. The transcript has 4 exons.